This 435-nucleotide ribosomal RNA is filed under the name uncultured bacterium. RNAcentral describes it as "partial 16S ribosomal RNA". It matches the Rfam family "Bacterial small subunit ribosomal RNA", at positions 28 to 507 of the family's 1533-position model. The record is from RNAcentral.
GAUGAACGCUGGCGGUAUGCUUAACACAUGCAAGUCGAACGGACUCUUCGGAGUUAGUGGCGGACGGGUGAGUAACGCGUGAGAAUCUGGCUUUGGGUUCGGGACAACCACUGGAAACGGUGGCUAAUACCGGAUGUGCCGAGAGGUAAAAGAGAAAUUGCCUGAAGAUGAGCUCGCGUCUGAUUAGCUAGUUGGUGAGGUAAAGGCUCACCAAGGCAGCGAUCAGUAGCUGGUCUGAGGGGAUGACCAGCCACACUGGGACUGAGACACGGCCCAGACUCCUACGGGAGGCAGGAGUGGGGAAUUUUCCGCAAUGGGCGAGAGCCUGACGGAGCAAUACCGCGUGAGGGAAGAAGGCUCUUGGGUUGUAAACCUCUUUUCUUAGGGAAGAACAAAAUGACGGUACCUAGUAAAUCAGCAUCGGCUAACUCCGUG